Molecule: ribosomal RNA, 254 nt
Filed under: uncultured bacterium
Lineage: Bacteria
Description: partial 16S ribosomal RNA
Rfam family: Bacterial small subunit ribosomal RNA
Source: RNAcentral
CACGUAGGGUGCGAGCGUUGUCCGGAAUUAUUGGGCGUAAAGAGCUCGUAGGCGGUGUGUCGCGUCGGCCGUGAAAACCUGCAGCUUAACUGUGGGCGUGCGGUCGAUACGGGCAUCACUGGAGUUCGGUAGGGGAGACUGGAAUUCCUGGUGUAGCGGUGGAAUGCGCAGAUAUCAGGAGGAACACCGAUGGCGAAGGCAGGUCUCUGGGCCAUUACUGACACUGAGAAGCGAAAGCAUGGGGAGCGAACAGG